UAAAAAUCAUCAUUUGUUUGG
Molecule: non-coding RNA, 21 nt
Filed under: Caenorhabditis elegans
Lineage: Eukaryota; Metazoa; Nematoda; Chromadorea; Rhabditida; Rhabditidae
Source: RNAcentral